AUUGAACGCUGGCGGAAUGCUUUACACAUGCAAGUCGAACGGCAGCACGGGGCAACCUGGUGGCGAGUGGCGAACGGGUGAGUAAUACAUCGGAACGUGCCCAAUCGUGGGGGAUAACGUAGCGAAAGUUACGCUAAUACCGCAUACGAUCUACGGAUGAAAGCGGGGGAUCGCAAGACCUCGCGCGAGUGGAGCGGCCGAUGUCAGAUUAGGUAGUUGGUGGGGUAAAGGCUCACCAAGCCAACGAUCUGUAGCUGGUCUGAGAGGACGACCAGCCACGCUGGAACUGAGACACGGUCCAGACUCCUACGGGAGGCAGCAGUGGGGAAUUUUGGACAAUGGGCGCAAGCCUGAUCCAGCCAUUCCGCGUGCAGGAUGAAGGCCUUCGGUUGUAAACUGCUUUUGUACGGACGAAACGGACGAGCUCUAAUACAGUUUGCUAAUGACGGUACCGUAAGAAUAAAGCACCGGCUAACUACGUGCCAGCAGCCGCGGUAAU
This 499-nucleotide ribosomal RNA is filed under the name uncultured bacterium. RNAcentral describes it as "bacterial SSU rRNA". It matches the Rfam family "Bacterial small subunit ribosomal RNA", at positions 30 to 524 of the family's 1533-position model. The record is from RNAcentral.